GGCACAUGCCGUAGUCCUUAUAAGAGAGAGAGGGCUGGCAAUGACCAUGGGCAUAGGCCCAUUCAUAGUCCUUACCAUAAAGAAAGAGCUACUCCUAACAAUGGUCGUGGCCAGAGUGCCAGUCCUUACCAAAGGGAAAGACCUAGCCUAGACAAUGAUAGCAACUAUAGUCGCAAUCCAUAUGGAAGAGAGAGGGCUAAUGCAGAUAAUGGUCAUGGUUAUGCGAUGGAUGGUGCUAGCCUUGAAAAUGGUCAUCGAACAAGCCCAAAUUCCUUGCCAGAAGGGAGGGACAGUCCAAAUGAUGGUGGGUCUGAAAGUCCUAUGCAUGAGAGAUACCACAGUCAUUCACCCCAACAGAUGAAUGAGUAUGUUCAGAGAGUUUGGAAAGAACACCUGUCGGUUUAUUAGUUUUGUCAUGAAGGUGGAACUUAAUUAGCAUUCUUGCUAUUUGAUCUUUUCAUGAAGAAGGCCCAUAAAAUCGGUCACAACUUAUGCUCUUCAUUUUGUGAUGUGGGAUAUGGAAAGUGUU
This 529-nucleotide unclassified non-coding RNA is filed under the name Hevea brasiliensis (rubber tree). The record is from RNAcentral. Lineage: Eukaryota; Viridiplantae; Streptophyta; Magnoliopsida; Malpighiales; Euphorbiaceae.